CCCUAGUUUCACUUCUUUCUCGCAGAGUUGGAGCUUUUAAAAAUCUCUCCCAAAAAAAAAUAGAUCCUACUGCAAAGGAGGAAGGCGACGAGGAGGCGGCGGACUAUGAAUUUGGAGGACGCAAAUGAUUAUUGAUUUUGGAAUCGGAUGCAGAAAAAUUAUCUGAGAUGAUAAAAUUGAAGAAUCAAUGGUUAUGUUAAUGCUGAUUAUUGAUGGCUGCGACUCUGAUCGAUGAAGGCUGGAACCCUAGCGGUGGGUAAUAAGCACAGUCGAUUGAUCUCAGGUGGAGGGGAAGAGAACGAAGGAACGAAAGGACCCAAAA
Coffea arabica (coffee) is the source of this 322-nucleotide non-coding RNA. Lineage: Eukaryota; Viridiplantae; Streptophyta; Magnoliopsida; Gentianales; Rubiaceae. The record is from RefSeq and is a predicted model, not a curated record.